AGGAUGAACGCUGGCGGCGUGCUUAACACAUGCAAGUCGAACGAUGAAGGCUGGAGCUUGCUCUGGCUGGAUUAGUGGCGAACGGGUGAGUAACACGUGAGUAACCUGCCCCAGACUCUGGGAUAAGCGCUGGAAACGGCGUCUAAUACCGGAUACGAGCUUCCACCGCAUGGUGAGGAGCUGGAAAGAAUUUCGGUCUGGGAUGGACUCGCGGCCUAUCAGCUUGUUGGUGAGGUAAUGGCUCACCAAGGCGACGACGGGUAGCCGGCCUGAGAGGGUGACCGGCCACACUGGGACUGAGACACGGCCCAGACUCCUACGGGAGGCAGCAGUGGGGAAUAUUGCACAAUGGGCGCAAGCCUGAUGCAGCAACGCCGCGUGAGGGACGAAGGCCUCGGGUGU
Molecule: ribosomal RNA, 402 nt
Filed under: uncultured soil bacterium
Lineage: Bacteria
Description: bacterial SSU rRNA
Rfam family: Bacterial small subunit ribosomal RNA
Source: RNAcentral